Molecule: long non-coding RNA, 5325 nt
Filed under: Sus scrofa (pig)
Lineage: Eukaryota; Metazoa; Chordata; Mammalia; Artiodactyla; Suidae
Description: lncRNA (ENSSSCG00000058257.1)
Source: RNAcentral
GGAACAUAAUCAAGGUCACAGAGUUGGGAUUCAACCAGAAAAACUAUGAUCUUAGCCAAAUACUUUCAGCAACAUCAAUUAUAUUACACUAGCCCUCAACCCAGAUAUUUUUAGCAACAACUUAUGAAAUGGUGGGUUAGAGGAAAAGGACCUUUUAGUCUGCCUUCUACGGAAAUUAAAAUCUCAAAGCCUCCCUUUACCAUAUUAAGUUUUGACAUAUUUUGGAUAAUGAAACUGUUUUUACCCUCCCUUUACAAAGUCUGUGGGCAGAGUUUUAGCUGGAAUGAUAAAAAUGUAGCAUGGGGGAAAUUUCUUUAAUUUCCAUGUUUUACAUAAAUUACCUGAAUAUAUUUAACAAGUAGAGCGAUAACAUCCAUCCUCCCUGAACAUCCUCUUAAUUUGAGCACUAAAUAGAGGAGUCAUUAGUGAACAUUACAUGCAGGUGUUUUCGGUGGUAUUUACUAAAGAGUCUCCAGUUGCUACCCAUUAAGAGAAACUUUUAAAGUUAGACUACCAGAAGAAUGAUAAAAUGCACAGCAAGAGAAACCAUUUUUGACACUUUCGUUAUUUGAAGCAUAUAUCAAAAGCUGGAACUUUGCAUAGCAGUGGGUUUUGUUCCAUUGUGAAGGCUGAAAGUGCCAGGUGACAGUUUUCUGCUUGCAAAGUCAAAAUGUAAAUUACGGAGUCACUCCUGGGCUCUUAGGUAAUUCCUGAGGUAUACUCUGACAUACCUACUGUUUUUACAGUGCUGUGACAUCUAGGAAUGGGUGCUUUGAUUCUGCCAAAUUCUCCACGGAAAGGAUUUAUUUUUUGUUUUUAAUAAAAAUAGUAAAUAUUAAUUAAUAAAUAAUAAACUAAUAAAUAGUAAUGAUAAUAAAAUUGGAAUUUUUAAAUUCUAAAUUAUUUUGUAAAUUUUUGUUUUUGGCUUUUUUUUUAAGGGUUACACUUGCAGCAUAUGGAAAUUCCCAGGCUAGGAGUUGAAUUGGAGCUACAGCUGCCAGCCUACACCACAGCCACAGCAAUGCCAGAUCCGAGCCACAUCUGCCACUACACUACAGCUCAUGGCAACGCUGGACCCUUAACCCACUGAGCGAGGCCAGGGAUCGAACCUGUGUUCUCACAGAUCCUAGUUGGGUUCUUAAGCCACUGAGCCACAAUAGGAACUCCCUAAUUUAUUUUUCAAUUUAAGCGUAUUUAGUAAGCAAAGGUAGUUUCUGAGCAUGAACAUAAUUUGGGAAAAUAACUAAAUAGUUAUUAAACACUCACAAAAGAGCCCAAAUAAUCUCUUUGUGAAGGGUUCUCUCCUUGACAGAGAGUAAGAGCAUUAACUCUUUGUCUAUCUUGAAAUAGAAAAGCAGGUUAUUUUUUGUAAACAUUUUGAAGCAACAUUCUUCAUCCAUCUCAGACACUGGAGAGCAUAUUCAGAUUGAGGCAUGAAACCCACCACUUACUCAUUUAUUCAAAAACCAAUUCUUGGGCAACUAAUUAGCUGCAGGGAUAGUGCUAGACCCAUAGGUACAGAGAAAAGUCAGGGAUCUGAACAGGGACUAACGCCAUGGCAAGAGGAAAUAAAAGGCUGUGCACUGACAGAGGGAACCUCAGAGUGCUCUGGGCACACACCAGGAGACCUCCAUCCCAGGCAGCUCAGCUCAGCUUCCAGGAGACAUAAGUAGAUGUUUGUGGCAUGAGGAAGAGGAAGAGGGGAUUUUUAGGGAGAUGGGGGAACACAUAUUUACAAAGCCAGGAGGUGUGAGAGAACCUCAUACUUCGGGGAACUCCAAGAAUGUCAGGAGGACAAGUGGAUAGGAAUGAGGGCAGACAGGGCCAAGAGAAGUUGGCAAAGUCAGAUUAUGGGAAAUCUUAGGGAUGCUAAGAAGAAUGGGUAAAAUGUCGAAAGUAAGGGGAGAACAAAUGGAGAAUUGCAGGAGGUUGACAUACUCAGAUUUGCUCUUUUAAACGAUCCUCAGGGUGGUGUGAAGCAGUAGGUCUCAAUGGUGAUGCUUGGUCACAACUAGGGGAAAGGGGUCCUACUGGCAUCGAACGUGUCAAGGACAGGAAUACCACUAAAUAUCUUAUAAAGCGCAGGACAAGCCACUGGAACAAAUAAUUAAUUAUCCCAAGGUGGAGAAACCCUGGCAUGCAAGGCUGACUAAUGCCUGUGUCCCACCCCACCCCCAACAUGUUCAUGAUCUAAUUCAAGGAAUUUGUGAAUGUGUGUCCUUAAAAGGACAGAUGUGAUUAAAUUAAGGGUUGUGAAAUGAGAUGAUCCUGGCUUAUCAGAGUGACCCAACAUAAUCACAAGGGUCCUGAUUAGAGAGAGGCACAGGGUCAAAGACAGAAAAGGUAAUGUGAGGACGGAUCCAGUCACUGAGGGAGAUGGGGGUGAUGCCUUGGAAUCAGAAGAGGGAGCAGGGAGCCAAGGAAACAGGCAACCUCCAGAAACUUGAAGGUCCCCUACAGCCUCCAGAUGGAGCCAGUCAUGCUGACACCUUGACUUCAGGCCAGUGAGGCUGCUUUGGGACUUCUGACCUCUCAGAGCGAUGAGAGAAUACAUUUGUGUUGUGUUAAGCCACUAUCCAUGUGACACUGUUACAGCAGCAAUAGGAGAUUAAUAUAUGCUUUGGAGGACAGACAGACAGGAAGCGAAUCUUAAGGCAGAAUAAACAGUGAGAAGGUAUCAAUUCUGCCAGGCACCUGAGCACUGAAGAUACAACAGUGAUCCAGGCAGAGAAAAAAUUCUGUUCCCUUCAAAUUUAUAGGGCUUUGUGUGUGUGCAUGUUUUGUAUGUGUGAGUUCUUCCUAAAUUUCAGAAAAUAACCCUGAAUAAUGCUAACUUCCUUUCCUAAUCCAUUUUACAUCUUCUGACUUUUUCUGUCUUGACAGUUUUACUUUUGAUUUGAAUUUCUUAGUAUUUCACAUUAUGAACUGUACCUCCCCUGAACAAUGCAAGGUGUUGUAGUGUCAUAUAAUGUCUCUCUACAUUGUUUUCUAUUAACUUUGCUUAUAGUUUUAUUAUCAUGGAUUGAUUAUUACUCCCAAUGACCCACAGCACUAUUAUUAACCCAUUCUUGCCAUGUAUUCCUAUAAAAGAACAGACUUCACCACACCACUGUCAGGACUGGCCAUGGGCAACUUUUGAUCCAUUGAAUGCAAGUUCUCUUAUCUGAUUAUAAACUUGUGAGUGUGAAAUAAGGGGUCCACUGUUGGAAGCCACUGAGACUUUGGUAUGGUUUGUUAUGCCGUAUAUCCUCGGGAAAUCUGUCUAAAACAUUUAUGUUUACAUUUAGGCCUUUUAUCUAUGAUGCCAUCAUUGUUAUAUACAGGUAUCUGUUUGAUCUCUCGAUUCGGUUUCAUUGAUCUGUUCCCAUAUCAAUUCUAUACUAUUUUUGGUACUGAAAUAUUAUACUGUGUCUAAAUAUGAGUUCCCACUUUUAGUCUUACUUCUUAAAAUUACAUUAGCUUUGUAUUGUGAAAUUUCAAAUUAUAUUUAAAAUAGGUUUCAUGUUCUUCUGCAAAUUCUGCUGAGAUAUUGAUUACCUUGAGUUUAUAGAUAAACCUGGGAAACCAUUAAAAGCUUUACAAUGUUAACAUGACUUCUUUUAUGAAAGUCUCAUUUGAUUAACUUUAGAUAUCUUAUAAGUUCCUCUGUGAAGAUAUUGUGCUUUCUUCAUUGAUCUAAUUCCUAGGUCUUUCAUAGUUCAGACUGAUGUUUUUGAGUGGCCUAUUAUCCUCUCAUAUUUUUAGUUGGUUUUUACUGUGUAAGGUGUUGGACUCUGAUGUAAACAGUGUUCACCCAAUUAAGGAAGAGAAGAAAGUAUUAGCACUUCUAUAUAAAUGCUUAUUUUUUAUUUCAUUUUAACAUUUUAGUUUUUAGGUAAAUAGAACCUAAGUAUGAAUACAUUAAUUCUACAAUAAUAACAAUAGCUAAUUUUUAUUAGACACCAACUUUGUGCUAGUUACUAUUCAAAUGCUUUCCAAGUAUUAAUUCAUUCCAUCCUCACAAUAUCCAAAGUGAUCAUUUUUUAUCACUUUAUAGGCAAGAAAAAUGAGGCAGAGAGUGGUUAUAUAACUUGCCUAAGUUCACACAGGUGUAAGUUACAGAACCAAGAUUUGGAUCCAAGACAAUCUUACCCUUAGUCUCUAUGCGACGUGGUUCGCAAACUACAUUAUUGCACUUUAUAAAUAAAUAUUGGGUUCAUACUAGGCUCAUACAAUGAGUUGGCAUACUUUUUAAAGAUAAGGAUUAUAUGUUUCUUUAAAGUUUUACUUAUCAACUUUUAGAGGAACUAAUAUUUUGAGACUAGUGGUGUAGAAAAAUGCUAUUAAUCUUUAAUGUUUAUCUUGUAUCUGGCAAUUUCACUUAACUCUUUUAUUAUAUAAACUAACUAGCUCAUUCUCUUGGGUUUUUUAGUAGUCUUAUCAUUUACAAAUAAUGACAGUUUUAUCUCUUCCUUUCCAAUUCUUAUUAUUGCUAACUAUUUUCCUUGUCUUAUUGUGUUGGCUGGGCCUCCAGUACUACAUUGAAUAGUAGUGGUGAUAAAAGAUAUCCUUGCUUUGUUGAAUUAAAAAUUUCUUCAAUAAACACUAUCUAUCUGAGCCUUUUAAAUUAAUACUUUUAUCAAGUUAAAAACUCAUAUUUGCUCCCAGUUUUCUUAGUUUCUGUUGUUUUAUCAUUAAAUAAGUAUAAAAUUUACUAAAUGCUUUUUCUGUAUCUACUGAGAUGAUUUCUUUUUUAGUCCACUGUUGUGAUGAAUUACAAUUUGAUAACAGUUUUGAUCAGUAAGCCAUUGUACCACUCCCGAGGUAAUUCCUACAAGUUCACAUUGUAUUGUUUUAAUAGAUCAUGAAUUUAUUUGACUAAAAUUUUAUUUAGUAUCAUCUGUGUUCAGAGGUGGACUAUUUUCCUUUUUCUUUUGUAUUGUUCUUAUCUAGUUUUAAUAUGAAGAUAUUAAGCUCAUAAAAUGACUUGUGCAGUCUUAGUUUUUUCUGGAAAAGUUUGCAUGAGAUAAAAUUAUCUGCCUUUUAAAAUUUCGCUUAAACUUUAAGGUUCUUUAAACCCUAAAGGGCCUUAUUUCAACUAACUCAAAGGUAUUUAGUUACCAGGAGUUCCCCUCAUGGCUCAGCAGUCAACAAACCACUACAAACCAUGAAGUUGCAGGUUCAAUCCCUGGCCUUGCUCAGUGGGUUAAGGAUCUGGCGUUGCUGUGAGCUGUGGUGUAGGUUGCAGACAAGGCUCAGAUCCUGCACUGCUGUAGUGUAGGCCAGAGGCUACAACUCCAAUUAGACCUAUAGUCUGGGAACCUCCAUAUGCUGUGGGUGCGGCCC